UGGGGGAUGACGGCCUUCGGGUUGUAAACCUCUUUCGACCCCGACGAAGGGUGACUGACGGUAGGGGUAUAAGAAGCACCGGCCAACUACGUGCCAGCAGCCGCGGUAAUACGUAGGGUGCGAGCGUUGUCCGGAAUUAUUGGGCGUAAAGAGCUCGUAGGCGGUGUGUCGCGUCGAUCGUGAAAACCUGCGGCUUAACCGUGGGCGUGCGGUCGAUA
RNAcentral lists this ribosomal RNA (218 nucleotides) under uncultured Pseudonocardia sp. RNAcentral describes it as "partial 16S ribosomal RNA". It matches the Rfam family "Bacterial small subunit ribosomal RNA", at positions 402 to 632 of the family's 1533-position model. The record is from RNAcentral. Lineage: Bacteria; Bacillati; Actinomycetota; Actinomycetes; Pseudonocardiales; Pseudonocardiaceae.